GUCUGUCACCCUUUGGCCUCGUCGUCCUCUGGACGACUUUUCCCCACGUUUGUUUCCCUUCCACAACCCCAAGUCGCCAACCCACCGCGGCGCUGCGGAAUCCACCUGCAACUGCAAGCCCACCAAAUCGAGCGGAGCCCCGACGCCACCAAAUCAGGCGGCCUCGGAGACGGAGAUCCAGCAGGGUCGGGAAGAACCGGGGGAGACACCGUCAGAAGAGGAGGACCAGCAGCAGGCAGGCGGUGGUGGCGAAGUCGUCGGCGCCGGCGGCGGCUGCCGGGGUAUCUGCGAUGAUAACCCGGUCGAAGCUGGUGGAGCAGCUGCGCGACUACCAGAUCCGAUCCCAGCACAAGCGUGACGUUAUCGGAGCUAUAUCAUGGGGCUUGCUGUGUUGUUUUCUGAUAAUAUCUUCGUACAUGACGCUAUACUUCAGGCAUUUCUGGCUUAGUGCUAUUAUUAUCUCACUCGGUAUUCUUCUCCCUGCUGGCCUGUAUAUUUUGAGGCAAAGAAAGCUGGCUAAGAAACGAGAGAGAAGACUAUUGUUGCCCCUCUCUAUGUAAGGUUGUGGGUAGGUUUCUUGUUUUUGCGCCAAUUCUUGUCUUGAUAGAAUCCGCAUUCUUGGCUUGCGGCUUGUCUAAACACAUCCAACAUUUUAUACGUCUCUGGCCCCUAAUACAGAUCCUUAUUCUUCAGUGUUUACCAAAGUUUUACAAGAGAAAUGAUAGUUUUGCGAGUAGACACCAGUUGUGUUGUCAGCUACAAAUUUCAGUUUUUUUUUAAAAAAUUUGUUUGGUCGAUGCCUUCAGCCCAAAGAAACAACUCAACAUGUCAUAAUAUGUUGGGUGUUGCCAUACCUGUGUAUGCAUAUAUUGUUUCGUACUUCUGAUGGAUUUUGUUAGCUGCA
Molecule: long non-coding RNA, 904 nt
Organism: Sorghum bicolor (sorghum)
Lineage: Eukaryota; Viridiplantae; Streptophyta; Magnoliopsida; Poales; Poaceae
Exons: 2
Source: RefSeq, a predicted model, not a curated record